GGAUGCGAUCAUACCAGCACUAAAGCACCGGAUCCCAUCAGAAUUCCGAAGUUAAGCGUGCUUGGGCGAGAGUAGUACUAGGAUGGGUGACCUCCUGGGAAGUCCUCGUGUUGCAUUCC
Molecule: ribosomal RNA, 119 nt
Filed under: Setaria viridis
Lineage: Eukaryota; Viridiplantae; Streptophyta; Magnoliopsida; Poales; Poaceae
Also listed under: 3 other names
Source: RNAcentral